RNAcentral lists this ribosomal RNA (568 nucleotides) under uncultured archaeon. RNAcentral's name for it is "bacterial SSU rRNA". It matches the Rfam family "Archaeal small subunit ribosomal RNA", at positions 311 to 879 of the family's 1478-position model. The record is from RNAcentral.
CGCGAAUUCGCCCUUCGGGGUGCACCAGGCGCGAAAACUUUACAAUGCGGGAAACCGUGAUAAGGGGACACCGAGUGCCAGCAUCAUAUGCUGGCUGUCCAGGUGUGUAAAAUACACCUGUUAGCAAGGGCCGGGCAAGACCGGUGCCAGCCGCCGCGGUAACACCGGCGGCCCGAGUGGUGAUCGUGAUUAUUGGGUCUAAAGGGUCCGUAGCCGGUUUGGUCAGUCCUCCGGGAAAUCUGACGGCUUAACCGUUAGGCUUUCGGGGGAUACUGCCAGGCUUGGAACCGGGAGAGGUAAGAGGUACUACAGGGGUAGGAGUGAAAUCUUGUAAUCCCUGUGAGACCACCUGUGGCGAAGGCGUCUUACCAGAACGGGUUCGACGGUGAGGGACGAAAGCUGGGGGCACGAACCGGAUUAGAUACCCGGGUAGUCCCAGCCGUAAACGAUGCUCGCUAGGUGUCAGGCAUGGCGCGACCGUGUCUGGUGCCGCAGGGAAGCCGUGAAGCGAGCCACCUGGGAAGUACGGCCGCAAGGCUGAAACUUAAAGGAAUUGGCGGGGGAGCAC